UACGUAGGGGGCAAGCGUUGUCCGGAAUCAUUGGGCGUAAAGCGCGUGUAGGCGGUUCGAUAAGUCUGCUGUGAAAGUCCAGGGCUCAACCCUGGGAUGCCGGUGGAUACUGUCGGGCUAGAGUACGGAAGAGGCGAGUGGAAUUCCCGGUGUAGCGGUGAAAUGCGCAGAUAUCGGGAGGAACACCAAUUGCGAAGGCAGCUCGCUGGGACGUUACUGACGCUGAGACGCGAAAGCGUGGGGAGCAAACAGG
RNAcentral lists this ribosomal RNA (253 nucleotides) under uncultured bacterium. Its description in RNAcentral is "partial 16S ribosomal RNA". It matches the Rfam family "Bacterial small subunit ribosomal RNA", at positions 524 to 776 of the family's 1533-position model. The record is from RNAcentral.